UACGGAGGGGGCUAGCGUUGUUCGGAAUUACUGGGCGUAAAGCGCACGUAGGCGGCUUUGCAAGUUAGAGGUGAAAGCCCGGGGCUCAACUCCGGAAUUGCCUUUAAAACUGCAUCGCUAGAAUUGUGGAGAGGUGAGUGGAAUUCCUAGUGUAGAGGUGAAAUUCGUAGAUAUUAGGAAGAACACCAGUGGCGAAGGCGGCUCACUGGCCCGGUACUGACGCUGAGGUGCGAAAGCGUGGGGAGCAAACAGG
RNAcentral lists this ribosomal RNA (253 nucleotides) under uncultured bacterium. Its description in RNAcentral is "partial 16S ribosomal RNA". It matches the Rfam family "Bacterial small subunit ribosomal RNA", at positions 524 to 776 of the family's 1533-position model. The record is from RNAcentral.